Molecule: ribosomal RNA, 490 nt
Filed under: uncultured bacterium
Lineage: Bacteria
Description: partial 16S ribosomal RNA
Rfam family: Bacterial small subunit ribosomal RNA
Source: RNAcentral
AUUGAACGCUGGCGGCAGGCCUAACACAUGCAAGUCGAACGGUAACAGGAAGAAGCUUGCUUCUUUGCUGACGAGUGGCGGACGGGUGAGUCAUGUCUGGGAAACUGCCUGAUGGAGGGGGAUAACUACUGGAAACGGUAGCUAAUACCGCAUAACGUCGCAAAACCAAAGAGGGGGACCUUCGGGCCUCUUGCCAUCGGAUGUGCCCAGAUGGGAUUAGCUAGUAGGUGGGGUAACGGCUCACCUAGGCGACGAUCCCUAGCUGGUCUGAGAGGAUGACCAGCCACACUGGAACUGAGACACGGUCCAGACUCCUACGGGAGGCAGCAGUGGGGAAUAUUGCACAAUGGGCGCAAGCCUGAUGCAGCAAUGCCGCGUGUAUGAAGAAGGCCUUCGGGUUGUAAAGUACUUUCAGCGGGGAGGAAGGGAGUAAAGUUAAUACCUUUGCUCAUUGACGUUACCCGCAGAAGAAGCACCGGCUAACUCCGUG